This 423-nucleotide long non-coding RNA is filed under the name Setaria viridis. RNAcentral describes it as "long non-coding RNA (SVIR_LNC005465)". The record is from RNAcentral. Lineage: Eukaryota; Viridiplantae; Streptophyta; Magnoliopsida; Poales; Poaceae.
CGAGAUCCACCGGCCGCAACUUGCGGCUACAGACGGGAAAGACCAAGAAAAGAAGAGACAACUUCCAUGAUGCUCCAGCGACAAGAACUGGCAGACAGCUGCCUUGCAGCGGGGGCAACUCGUCAAAAACAGACUACAGAACUCUCCACUGAUCACUUGCAUGAUGCCCCAGCGACAACAAAUAUGAAAGUGGAGGGACAGUAGUUCACUAACAGGAAAUGACAGCACAAUAUAGAAUCGAUUGAAUUUUUUGCCACUACUGUACAUCUGGUGGUACUACAUACAAGCAGAAGCAGAAAAUACAAUUAUGCUAUUUACAUUUUCCUUUUGACGAGUAUGCUAUGUAGAAACAGGACUACCAGGGCAUAUGCUAGUCAACCAAACUUUAUAUUGUGAGCAGUGGAGAAAUGUUUCACCGCCUCA